UUUUUUUAAAAGGCAGUCCUGAGGAUGUAAGGCAAAGUGGAUACUACAAUUAUUAUAACAAUUAGCAAGAAAGAGGGUUAUCCAAGAGACAGACUAACAAUUCAACUAGAUGUAUGGCUCGGGAAGUUUUAGCAAUUUACAAGACAGGUUCAGUCACAGUCACCAAAAUUAACAAAACCUUUUCUAGGUUUCAUCUGCUAAUAAAAAUGUCAACAUGACUAUCAUCCACUUAAAUCCUUA
This 240-nucleotide long non-coding RNA is filed under the name Bos taurus (domestic cattle). RNAcentral's name for it is "long non-coding RNA NONBTAT018173". The record is from RNAcentral. Lineage: Eukaryota; Metazoa; Chordata; Mammalia; Artiodactyla; Bovidae.